This 271-nucleotide ribosomal RNA is filed under the name uncultured bacterium. RNAcentral describes it as "partial small subunit ribosomal RNA". It matches the Rfam family "Bacterial small subunit ribosomal RNA", at positions 26 to 285 of the family's 1533-position model. The record is from RNAcentral.
AGAAUCAACGCUGGCGGCGUGCCUAAUACAUGCAAGUCGAACGCGAAAGUCCCGCAAGGGAUGAGUAGAGUGGCAAACGGGUGAGUAACGCGUGGGUGACCUGCCUUCGAGUGGGGGAUAACGUUUCGAAAGGAACGCUAAUACCGCAUGACAUCCCGCCUUUUAACAGGUGGAGAUCAAAGCCGGGGAUCGCAAGACCUGGCGCUUGAAGAGGGGCCCGCGUCCGAUUAGCUAGUUGGUGGGUAACGGCUCACCAAGGCAACGAUCGGUA